UCUUGGUCAUUUAGAGGAAGUAAAAGUCGUAACAAGGUUUCCGUAGGUGAACCCGCGGAAGGAUCAUUAAAGAAAUUUAAUAAUUUUGAAAAUGGAUUUUUUUGUUUUGGCAAGAGCAUGAGAGCUUUUACUGGGCAAGAAGACAAGAGAUGGAGAGUCCAGCCGGGCCUGCGCUUAAGUGCGCGGUCUUGCUAGGCUUGUAAGUUUCUUUCUUGCUAUUCCAAACGGUGAGAGAUUUCUGUGCUUUCGUUAUAGGACAAUUAAAACCGUUUCAAUACAACACACUGUGGAGUUUUCAUAUCUUUGCAACUUUUUCUUUGGGCAUUCGAGCAAUCGGGGCCCAGAGGUAACAAACACAAACAAUUUUAUCUAUUCAUUAAAUUUUUGUCAAAAACAAGAAUUUUCGUAACUGGAAAUUUUAAAAUAUUAAAAACUUUCAACAACGGAUCUCUUGGUUCUCGCAUCGAUGAAGAACGCAGCGAAAUGCGAUACGUAAUGUGAAUUGCAGAAUUCCGUGAAUCAUCGAAUCUUUGAACGCACAUUGCGCCCCUUGGUAUUCCAGGGGGCAUGCCUGUUUGAGCCCCAUUUCCUUCUCAAACAUUCUGUUUGGUAGUGAGUGAUACUCUUUGGAGUUAACUUGAAAUUGCUGGCCUUUUCAUUGGAUGUUUUUUUUCCAAAGAGAGGUUUCUCUGCGUGCUUGAGGUAUAAUGCAAGUACGGUCGUUUUAGGUUUUACCAACUGCGGCUAAUCUUUUUUUAUACUGAGCGUAUUGGAACGUUAUCGAUAAGAAGAGAGCGUCUAGGCGAACAAUGUUCUUAAAGUUUGACCUCAAAUCAGGUAGGAGUACCCGCUGAACUUAAGCAUAUCAAUAAGCGGAG
Molecule: ribosomal RNA, 878 nt
Filed under: uncultured fungus
Lineage: Eukaryota; Fungi
Description: eukaryotic LSU rRNA
Rfam family: 5.8S ribosomal RNA (bases 432-585)
Source: RNAcentral